This 344-nucleotide long non-coding RNA is filed under the name Homo sapiens (human). Its description in RNAcentral is "HSALNT0282731". The record is from RNAcentral. Lineage: Eukaryota; Metazoa; Chordata; Mammalia; Primates; Hominidae.
CGCCGCGGCGGCGAUCGCGCUCCCGCGACCCCUGCCCGCUCUCACGCAAUCCGCUUGCCAACACCACACAUCAUCAGUUUCCGAUUGGCUCCCCUCGGGCCCGCCAAUCAACGGGCUGACUCCCUCAGCGACGGGAGGGAAACUGCAGGGCGAUUGGCUGCGAGGAAAGCUGGGGAAGAAGCCCCUCUCCCUCACCCUCUCAGCGUUUUAUCCAAUGGGAAAAGUACCAGUGGUUCUGAAGACCAAAAAACGAGACGAAAAACAAACGCAGGCGCUGAGCAGGAUGUGCUCACAUGAAAUUGGAAGAGCCUCGUUAUCGUUCCCCCCGCCCCCCUCCCCUCAGC